GAAUAUUGGUCAAUGGGCGCAAGCCUGAACCAGCCAUGCCGCGUGCAGGAUGAAGCAUCUAUGGUGUGUAAACUGCUUUUAUACGGGAAGAAACCCUGGAACGUGUUCCAGAUUGACGGUACCGUAAGAAUAAGGACCGGCUAACUCCGUUCCAGCAGCCGCGGUAAUACGGAGGGUCCAAGCGUUAUCCGGAAUCAUUGGGUUUAAAGGGUCCGUAGGCGGGCUUGUAAGUCAGUGGUGAAAUCUCCCGGCUCAACCGGGAAAUGGCCAUUGAUACUGCUAGUCUUGAAUUAUUAGGAAGUAACUAGAAUAUGUAGUGUAGCGGUGAAAUGCUUAGAGAUUACAUGGAAUACCAAUUGCGAAGGCAGGUUACUACUAAUAUAUUGACGCUGAUGGACGAAAGCGUGGGUAGCGAACA
Molecule: ribosomal RNA, 418 nt
Filed under: uncultured bacterium
Lineage: Bacteria
Description: partial 16S ribosomal RNA
Rfam family: Bacterial small subunit ribosomal RNA
Source: RNAcentral